RNAcentral lists this transfer RNA (65 nucleotides) under Dinophilus gyrociliatus. RNAcentral describes it as "tRNA-Ile". The record is from RNAcentral. Lineage: Eukaryota; Metazoa; Annelida; Polychaeta; Dinophilidae.
AGUGUCGCGCCGGUGGACGGUUAACUUUGAUGAAGUUACAUACGAGAAUAUCUUCUCCGACACUC